Molecule: ribosomal RNA, 427 nt
Filed under: uncultured bacterium
Lineage: Bacteria
Description: partial 16S ribosomal RNA
Rfam family: Bacterial small subunit ribosomal RNA
Source: RNAcentral
UGGGGAAUAUUGGACAAUGGGCGAAAGCCUGAUCCAGCCAUACCGCGUGUGUGAAGAAGGUCUUCGGAUUGUAAAGCACUUUAAGUUGGGAGGAAGGGCAUUAACCUAAUACGUUAGUGUUUUGACGUUACCGACAGAAUAAGCACCGGCUAACUCUGUGCCAGCAGCCGCGGUAAUACAGAGGGUGCAAGCGUUAAUCGGAAUUACUGGGCGUAAAGCGCGCGUAGGUGGUUUGUUAAAUUGGAUGUGAAAUCCCCGGGCUCAACCUGGGAACUGCAUUCAAAACUGACUGACUAGAGUAUGGUAGAGGGUGGUGGAAUUUCCUGUGUAGCGGUGAAAUGCGUAGAUAUAGGAAGGAACACCAGUGGCGAAGGCGACCACCUGGACUAAUACUGACACUGAGGUGCGAAAGCGUGGGGAGCAAACA